Acanthaster planci (crown-of-thorns starfish) is the source of this 4855-nucleotide long non-coding RNA. The record is from RefSeq and is a predicted model, not a curated record. Lineage: Eukaryota; Metazoa; Echinodermata; Asteroidea; Valvatida; Acanthasteridae.
UGGAAUUUUCAAGCACUGCAUUGUAUUUUUGAACAUCAUGCAUUUUUUGGUCAAAAUUCUCUACCGUCAUCAAACUUCCGUCAAAUGUGAUGUUCACAAAGAUCAUAUUGUACUCACAGUGUAUUUGCAUGCAACUAGGGACCCCCUAUUGUUCUCUUUUGUUUUUAACUUUUUUAGAAGACCAACCAUAUGUUUAUACACAGUUGUCAAUCGGGAACCCUAUGUGAAUCAGGGACCUUACUGUCCCCAAUUGAAUGCAAGUCCCCAAUUGAAUGCAAAAACAAGCUCACACACGCACACCCAGACUUUGAACUGGUCUGUGGAGGUUAAGUAUGUGUGGAGGAGCCCUCAAGCAUUUGUGUGCUGCAUCCAGGUGCAACAGCAAAUGUCACUGUACUGUGUUAUCUCAGAGUGCAAAAAGAGCAAUGAUCAAUGAUUGUUGUAUUUCUUAUGCUGACAUGUUAGGACACGGACUGUCCUGGUUUUAUCACAUACAUGUAGUCAUAUGGCUUAUACAUGUAGUUCAGAUUCAGCAAUGGGAACAUGUCACAUGUAAUUUUUGUGAGAGGUCAACGAAAGGUUGCAAGACUUCACUUUGCCCGGCCUACAUGCAUUUCUCACUGUUGUGCCCAAAACUGCCCUGAAAUCGGUCCCCUUUUAGUUGCGCGGUAUUAUAUUAACGCUUGCGAAUAGUGACCUCAAUAAUUAUAUCGGAAUGAAGCUUUGGACUUCCCCUUUCAGAUACAUUAAAGAAAGAGGACUGUUGCUGUAGAAAAAAAUGAUGUCAUGACCUUUCAAAGGUCAGACACCGACUAGCUUCUUCAAAAGUUCAUGCAUGCACAUGUAUAGUUGUAUACAUGUGUGAAAGAGUGUGUACAGUACAUGUCGCUGUCUGCAUCAUGGCGACUUUGCAGCUGUCAUCGGAGCCCAUGGGAAGACUAACUUUGCAAGAAGUUCUGCAGGAAAAUGAUGCCAGUGGUUCUGAAAUGGAAGCUUGAGAUGAUCUUCGAAGUGACAUUGACGUUUUACAGGUACCAUAGUUACAGCGAUGUUUAGAUCAUAUUCUUGCAAACUAAAUGUCUCAAAGUAAAUCCAAAACGAUAGUGAAAAACAUGUUUGCAAUGGUGCUUUCAAAAUGUUUGAUCAUCACUAACAGCAUUAAUACAGAUGAUUAGGACUUCUGAUCUCUUGAUUAGGUUGAAUUGUUGUAAACUUGACUUGAAUGAAUGCUGUAUAGUUUAGUUGUGGCUGUGUUUUUGUUGUGUUCAUUUCAUUUUGUUUUCAUGUUGGAUUUUCUUAGAUUUUUUUGAACAGCCCAUUUUGAUUUGGCCCAACAUGCCCAGUCUUUAGGGGAUGGGAGGCAAAAUGGAAUUGGAAAACUUUUCUUGCAACAGAAUGCCAUCUCCCCAAAAGAAUGCAGUUUUCUUUUUCUUGAAUACUUAUACAUGUACUUACAAUUCCUUUCACUUCAUCUCAAAUUAGCAACAUUGGCUUCCCUUCAGUUAUCGCUGAAUAUGCUGCUGUGCUGGCUUUAUCAAUGUUUUGGGUGACACCUGCCAGACACUUUUCGAAAUAACUGUGUUCUUCAAUUCUAACAGAUUUCCCCCAACCUACUUAAUCAGAGUUUCAGUUGAGAGAUUACUUGUCAUGUACUUGUAACUAAAUUUUUUAUGUGUAUUUUGGAGAAACAAGAACAUGCUGCUUAGGAAAAAAAAUAUGCAUUGCAAAGUCUUCGAUACCGGAACAUAAACUGUUCAUGCAUGUAACCAUAUAGACUCAUGGUGUAACAUGAACUGAAAUAUCUACACUGAUGCUGGAACAAGUUUUGACAGGUACAAAGUUUUUUAUUACAUGGAUCUUCUUUGAAAAUAUGACAGGGUUCCGUGCAAAUGAUAGGUAACACACGAAAGUGUAAACAUGGUAUCCUAUCAUCUCGGUAUGCUUUAUGAGGUUUCAAUUACUUUCUUUAUUGCUAGAACUUCAGAGGGAUUAGUGUUAAUUCUUUUGUAGGCAUAUGCUUACUCAAAAACACAAUGUUACAAAAUUUCUGUUUUUUUAAUAACAUUCAAGAUUUUGCUAUGGUUUACUGUUUGGGUGUUUUGUUCGGGUAAUUUCUCGUAUCCACAAAAGGUCUUUAUUUGUAAAUACAUGUAAAUACAGACGAACAGAAAAAAUGUGACAGUUCUUGGGUAUGAAAAAGAAAUUAGUAUGUUUGUUAUGUGCAGGCCUACCUAGAAAUAGUUUUUAUUGAAACCACUGACAGCAUUGUAGGCAGAUCAGGCAAGAUCUUAUUUUCCUUAUUGUUUCACAAACUCUUAAGUUCAGUAUAGUUUUGAACAGGGCUUAUGACCAGUUGUGGCUGUUGUAAAAUGAGAGUACACAUUCCUUGAAUUUAUUAUUCUUUAGGCCUGUCUGAAAAUCAUGUCAUUAAACAUGUUCAAACCAGAACACAUAUAGUAUGACGUACACGUGCAGUGUGUGAAAAUUUUAGUGCCUUUUCCAAGUAGUCCCCUAAAAGUUUUGGGAAAGGACCAAUAGUUAUCAUAUUAAUAUUGAUGCAGAUACUUCAAGAGCUUGAAGAGGAGUAUGGUGCUAAGGAUGCUGCUGAAUCUCUCUAAAGUGCUCCACAUCCUGCGGUUGAUGAUGUAUUCAAGCAGUCUAGAGACGGCGUCCCUUGAAGAUUCAAUGUGAAAUCAUAAAACACCUAAAAAAAAUGGGUGUUGCCCACAAGCGACACAAAUGAUGAUCCACCUGUGGCAGAGGAACAUCCGCCUUGUGAUAACGAGGACCAGUAUUGUAGCAGUGACAGCUACCAGGUGUCCAGUGCUCCAUUCUCGGGUUCAGACAACUGUUAGUUUGCAGAUUUUGGAACUGAGAUUCUCUGAUGAAGAGCCAAAAGAGGAUGUGGGAGUUCUGGAUGAGAAGAAGUACCUCAUUUUUCACUCUUGCCUUCUGCAGCUCUUCAAAACAUGCCCCUGAUGUUCAGGCCCCUCAAAGAAGAAAGUAACCCGUCCACUCGGAGGGAUGGCGAUCCAAGUUGUUCAGACGUGUACAGACAAGGCAUGCAGUCAUGUCCACUGUUGCAGAAGCCAGCCAGUGGUGGGCAGUGUGGCCGCUGGGAGCAUUCUGAUUUCAGCCGCCAUUCUGAUGUCUGGUGUCAACAUCAGGAAAUUCAUCAAUGCUCUUGCUUUCAUCAAUGUGGCGAUGAUACCCUACAGCACAUUUUUUAUUCAUCAGCAAAGAUAUCUCCAGCCUGCCAUCAUAGAUGUAUGGUAUGAGCAGCAAGCCUUGAUAUUGUCUGAUUUUGAAAACAGUGGUGUUGGUGCAGAUAUGCGUGCGGACUCCAUGGGUCAUUCAGCUAAAUUUGGCUUCUACAUUAUUUUGGAGUUGAGCCAGGGUAAAGUUCUCCACUUUGAGCACAUGCAGAUCUAUAGAAGAAGUUAAAUAAUAGGCCUACUGGAAAUGCAUCUGGAUGUGGAGAAAUCAGGACUGGAUCCAGGGGAUUACCAACAAUGUCUACUGGUUCACGGCUUCCACCCCUGAUGGAGGUGGUGAUUUGAUGCUGGCCAAAUUCUCCAGUGCAGUCAAUCCUGUGAUGAAUGCCCAUCAUCAUGACAGCCAGCUCUUCCCACAGUGUGCGCACGGAGAACUUCCAGAAUGAAAGUGGAUAAAGCCAGGAUCUACCUAGCUGCCUUGCAUUUAAUGAGAACACUAAGAAAGCAAGCAGUGGACAAGCUAGGCAAUCCAGCCUGUAGCAUCUACUACCCAAGGGCAAAGCAGCCUACUGUAAGGUACAGCAUGAGACAGGUGGUGAUGUGGAGCUCCUAGAAUUUCACCAAGUUCAUAAUUGGCAAGGUUUUGGAUCUUUGUAAACAUGGCCAGGAUAUGAGGAACAACUACCCUGAGCUCAAGGCAAACCCUGUUCCCCUAACAGUGAGAGUAAAAUGCCCAAACAAAGAGGAAGCAGUGACUUCUUUCAUUUCUCACUUUGGUAAGCGUGGAGCUGGUAGGGCGAUGCGAAGGCUGCGAGGAUGUUGUAGUGUCGGCAAAACUUCCAAAGAAAGCCAAGGAAUCCAAGAAGGACAAAGGACAAAAGAAAGGCGAGGACGAAGCCCAUAAGGACAAAAUGCACAAGAAGAAAUCAAAGAAGAAAACAAGGGUUUCUGAAGAGGGAGAAUGCUUGUCUGCUUCAAAAUACAGCCAGACAUAAGACAUGGAAAUGUGGAAACAAACUUCAGUCUCUUAUGCAAUCAAGUGUAUUUUCCAGUUUACUUGAAACAAAUCUUGCAAGAGAAACUUCACCAAACGUACAUGUCAAUUUUUAAAGGAAAGCAUGCUCCGUAUCAAGCUUUAUCAUUACGCUGAUCACUCUUGGCAAUUUUGCACAUGUACAUGUGUGUACAUGUAUUUUUCAACAUUCACAUGAUCUGAAGAUGGAGUUAAUGGGGCCUUGCUUAGAGCUUAUGCAGAACUAAUUUUUGCAAAAUGGGCAAAAAUAUGGUGUACCCUUUAUGAACCUGAAUACAGUAAACAGUUGCUGUACACGCAUGUUUUUCAUUCAAUCUUUCCCAAAAUUAACCCUGCAAGUCCGAAGGAAUUUUAGUGGAAAAUGGCACCCUCAAAAAACUGACCAGCAAAUAAUCAAGAAAAAUUAAUCAUAAAGUUAAACAUAUGUAUUUAAAAGAUGACAUCCAUAUCUGGAUAUUUGAAUCCCUCGUAAUUAUCCUCUGGGUCUGGAAAAGUCGUUCUUGUCAUAAGCAUGAUGCAUAAUGGCAGGGGAACUCAGUUGUACCAUCCAAGAAAUCCCCAGCACCACCAGAUGACUUGUCUGUAAGAUGUGUGUUGGUACUUCCUA